RNAcentral lists this transfer RNA (86 nucleotides) under Candidatus Opitulatrix roisinitermitis. Its description in RNAcentral is "tRNA-Leu". It matches the Rfam family "tRNA". Rfam says of the family: Transfer RNA (tRNA) molecules are approximately 80 nucleotides in length. Lineage: Bacteria; Bacillati; Actinomycetota; Actinomycetes; Bifidobacteriales; Bifidobacteriaceae. The record is from RNAcentral.
GCCCACAUGGUGAAACUAGGUAGACACGCAUGCUUCAGGUGCAUGUAUCUUUAUAAGAUGUGGAGGUUCAAAUCCUCUUGUGGGCA